AACAAAUAAAAUUUUCAGUUUUUACAUAUAACGUUUGACUCUUCGUCUUAUUCAAAAAUUUUACGUUUAAUAUUUUUGUUUCUAUUAGAUGAUAAAAUAUGAAUAGUAUUUUAUGUGUGACUAAUUUUUUAAAAAUUUCUUAACAAAUUUUUAAAUAAGACGGAAGGUCAAACACUGGACACGAAAAUCAAAAGAU
Molecule: microRNA precursor, 196 nt
Filed under: Oryza brachyantha (malo sina)
Lineage: Eukaryota; Viridiplantae; Streptophyta; Magnoliopsida; Poales; Poaceae
Description: MIR812 microRNA precursor family
Rfam family: MIR812 microRNA precursor family
Source: Rfam by way of RNAcentral